GUACGGGUUGCAGCAGUGAGGAAUAUUGCACAAUGGGGGGAACCCUGAUGCAGCAACGCCGCGUGGAGGAUGACGCAUUUCGGUGUGUAAACUCCUUUUAUAUGUCAAGAAAAUGACGGUAGCAUAUGAAUAAGCACCGGCUAACUCCGUGCGCAGCAGCCGCGGUGAAUACGGAGGGUGCAAGCGUUACUCGGAAUCACUGGGCGUAAAGGACGCGUAGGCGGGUUGGAAAGUCAGGUGUGAAAUCCUACAGCUUAACUGUAGAACUGCACUUGAAACUUCUAAUCUAGAGUAUGGAGGGGAGAUGUAAUUAGUGGUGUAGGGGUAAAAUCCGUAGAUAUCACUAGGAAUACCUAAAGCGAAGGCGAUCUCCUGGAACAUUACUGACGCUAAGGCGUGAAAGCGUGGGGAGCAAACAGGAUUAGAUACCCGCGUAGUC
RNAcentral lists this ribosomal RNA (439 nucleotides) under uncultured bacterium. RNAcentral's name for it is "partial 16S ribosomal RNA". It matches the Rfam family "Bacterial small subunit ribosomal RNA", at positions 339 to 795 of the family's 1533-position model. The record is from RNAcentral.